This 229-nucleotide ribosomal RNA is filed under the name uncultured bacterium. Its description in RNAcentral is "partial 16S ribosomal RNA". It matches the Rfam family "Bacterial small subunit ribosomal RNA", at positions 568 to 796 of the family's 1533-position model. The record is from RNAcentral.
UCCGUAGGUGGAUAAUUAAGUCAGAGGUGAAGUCCUGCAGCUCAACUGUAGAAUUGCCUUUGAUACUGGUUAUCUUGAGUCAUUAUGAAGUGGUUAGAAUGUGUAGUGUAGCGGUGAAAUGCAUAGAUAUUACACAGAAUACCGAUUGCGAAGGCAGAUCACUAAUAAUGUACUGACACUGAGGGACGAAAGCGUGGGGAGCGAACAGGAUUAGAUACCCUGGUAGUCC